This 91-nucleotide ribosomal RNA is filed under the name Enterobacter cloacae. RNAcentral's name for it is "partial 23S ribosomal RNA". The stretch from base 1 to 73 matches the Rfam family "Bacterial large subunit ribosomal RNA", at positions 2853 to 2925 of the family's 2925-position model. Lineage: Bacteria; Pseudomonadati; Pseudomonadota; Gammaproteobacteria; Enterobacterales; Enterobacteriaceae. The record is from RNAcentral.
UUGAUAGGUCGGGUGUGUAAGCGCAGCGAUGCGUUGAGCUAACCGAUACUAAUGAACCGUGAGGCUUAACCUUACAACGCCGAAGGUGUUU